Molecule: ribosomal RNA, 331 nt
Filed under: uncultured eukaryote
Lineage: Eukaryota
Description: partial 18S ribosomal RNA
Rfam family: Eukaryotic small subunit ribosomal RNA
Source: RNAcentral
CCCUUAGAUGUUCUGGGCCGCACACGCGCUACACUGGCAGGUUCAUCGAGCUUCAUGCCCUGAUCUGAGGAGAACGGGAAAUCUUUGAACACCUGCCGUGCUUGGGAUAGAUGUUUGCAAUUAUUCAUCUUCAACGAGGAUUGCCUUGUAAGCGCACGUCAUCAGCGUGCAUUGAAUACGACCCUGUAUUCUGUACACACCGCCCGUCGCUCCUACCGAUUGAAGUUUUCGGUGAAUUUACUGGAGAUCCCUUUUGAAGGUGGUUCGCCACUGGAAGAAGUAUUCAAAAGUAAAUGAAUCGAAUGCUUUAGAGGAAGGAGAAGUCGUAACA